RNAcentral lists this long non-coding RNA (148 nucleotides) under Capra hircus (goat). Its description in RNAcentral is "lncRNA (ENSCHIG00000005315.1)". Lineage: Eukaryota; Metazoa; Chordata; Mammalia; Artiodactyla; Bovidae. The record is from RNAcentral.
AUCGCGAGAGUGCAGCCUCACCUUGGGGCCUGAAAAACAGGCACUGAAACGGGCGGUCUGGCCGCCCACCUCUCGGAAUCCAAUGAAAGGGCAAGGCUUCCAGAAGCCAGGAUGGCAUACAGCAGGUGCUCACUGCAGGUUUGAAUGA